CAGAGUGACCAGUGGUCAUCAAUGGAGUGACCAUUUUCAUGGUGGUCACCAGUAGAGUGACCGGUGCCAUGGUGGUCAUCCACAAAGUGACCAGCACCAUGGUGACCAUCACUGUUAGGGUUGGUCAUGGUCAAGGUCAUCGUGGUCACAGUGGCCAUUGUGGCCUCCAUGGCCAUGGUCAUUGUGGCCUUGGUGAUGGCCACGGUCAUGGUGAUAACGGUGGCCAUCAUCAUGGUCAUGGUGGCCUUGGUGGCUGUUGCCAUGGUUACAGUGACCGUUGUCAUGGUCAUGGUCAUGGUGGCCAUGGUGGCCACCACCAGAGUGGUCAUCACCAUCAGGGCAGGUCACGGUGGCCAUGCUCACGGUGAUGGUGGCCUCGGUCAUGAUCAUGGUGGCCUUGGUGUCAUCUCCUCGGUGACAGCGCUGGCGAUGGUGACCGUGGUCGUGGUGGCCACGGUGGCCAUCGCUGGCAGGGUCGGUUGUGGCCAUUGUGGCCGUGAUUGUGGCUGUGACCUGGGACACGGUCGUCGUCAGGGUGACGAUGGCCUUGGUGGCCAUGGUCGUGGUCAUGGUGGCCAUGGUGGUCAUGGUGGUCAUGGUGGCCAUGAUGGUCGUGGUGGCCAUGGUGGCCGUGAUCAUGGUCAUGGUGGCCAUGAUGGUUAUGGUGGCCUUGAUUGCUUUGGUUGGCCAUGGUCGUGGUCAUGGUGGUAAUAGUCAUGGUGGCCUUGGUGGCCACACUGGUCACGUCCAUGGUCAUGGUGGCCAUGAUGGUCAUGGUGGCCUUGAUGGCCUUGGUGGCCAU
This 802-nucleotide long non-coding RNA is filed under the name Parus major (Great Tit). Its description in RNAcentral is "lncRNA (ENSPMJG00000002252.1)". The record is from RNAcentral. Lineage: Eukaryota; Metazoa; Chordata; Aves; Passeriformes; Paridae.